Molecule: transfer RNA, 73 nt
Filed under: Prevotella sp.
Lineage: Bacteria; Pseudomonadati; Bacteroidota; Bacteroidia; Bacteroidales; Prevotellaceae
Also listed under: 2 other names
Description: tRNA-Thr
Rfam family: tRNA
About the family: Transfer RNA (tRNA) molecules are approximately 80 nucleotides in length. Their secondary structure includes four short double-helical elements and three loops (D, anti-codon, and T loops).
Source: RNAcentral
GCCGGUUUAGCUCAGUUGGCAGAGCAGCGCAUUCGUAAUGCGCAGGUCUGGGGUUCAAGUCCCCAAACCGGCU